Non-coding RNA from Rattus norvegicus (Norway rat), 2188 nucleotides. NCBI's taxonomy places the organism in Eukaryota, Metazoa, Chordata, Mammalia, Rodentia, Muridae. The record is from RefSeq and is a predicted model, not a curated record.
UCCUACUGGGCUUCUGCAUAACUCUGAAUAAAGAGGGGCUCACCCCACCCCCCACCUCCCCACCCUCCUAGGGCUCCCACUAUGACCCUAGGCCAGGGCCCUCCACACAAAUCUGUUCUGAGCCUGAGUCACUCAGUAGUAAACAGGCAGUACCUGUCAGCUUCUCUCAGCUGCACCUUACCCUCUUCUGACCCUCUUCUGUCCUUGGGGCCCCCGCCACAGCAUAGCAGGUGGAUCUCCCUUCCCCCACCAGCCUGGUAAGCACUGGCCACACCCUGUCUUGACUCAGAUGCCACAAAUUCCCAAAUGCCACUGGUUCUGACUCCAGCGUUCCUACCAGAGGCCCUGUCACCAGCAUCCAGUGGCCCGGCAUGAAUGCCCACACCCCACAGGCUUAUCCCUGUCUCCUUUAGUCUCCUGACCCUCAACACCACACUGGCACCAUGGGGGCCUGGAUGCUAGCUGUGAACCAAAGAGAGGAGCCUGAUCCUCCUGGUGUCCCAAAGACCACAGGACCCAUUCUGUUCCCUUCACAGAUAAGUAUCUUUGGUAUGGUUCAGAGCUAUGUUCUCAGUGUCAGGAGAGGGCACGGAUAGAGGGAGGUGGGGAUGGAGGAAGGGGGGUAGAGGGAGGAAUGGAGGAGGGAAGAGAGGGAGUCCCCCCUCGGAGAGUUGAUGGGAGGGCUGGCCUUGUGGAGCCAAGAGAAAGUUACUGGUUUGCCUGUCAUUCUGAUACAGAUCCACCCAGAGUCCCUUUCACAGAGACUACAGAAUAUUAGAUUUAUCACACACUCUAGCCGAGAUGUGCUGCCGAGAUUUCGGGACAAGAUUUAUUAUACCGGCAGGCUUUUUAAAAUGAAAGAGAAUCUUCUGGCUGAAGCGAGUCUGUUAACGGAAAAGCAGCAGAUAUCCUAGAAGUAUAAGCCAUGAGGACCCUGCUAAGCCAGAGGAAACAGGGGUGCAUGAAGGAGCAAUGACCUCUGAGGCUGCUUCCAGAACCUUCCUUAAGUGGACCACCAUCUCAUCUAACCUUGCCAAGAGUGUUAAGAUGAACGCUGGUUGUCUUCACUAUGAACAGCAGGACUCCAAGGUUCUAAGAGAAAAACACACUGGAGGUCAUGGGGCUGGCAAGGAGAGUCAGGAUUCGAACCUGUGUCUGCCUAGUCCCUCAGUCACAUAUCCCUCUAUUCUCCCUCAGCCACGUCUGUGUGAGCGUGUGGAGUCUGGGGGCCAGGCUUCAGUGUGGUUCCUCAGUCUCCAUCCUCUAAGUUUUCCAGACAGGCUCUCUCUCUCUCUCUCUCUCUCUCUCUCUCUCACUCUCUCACUCACUCACUCACUCACUGGCCUGACACUCCCUGGUUAGGCUGGUUCAGCCCCCAGCGCUGGGAUAACAAUGGCAACCAGAACACCCGACUUUUACACAGAUUUUGGGGCUCAAACUCAAGACUUCGUGUUUACGUGGCAAGCACCAAGCAUCUUCCUAGAUCCCUACACCCAACAUUUUAAAUUUGAAAUUAAACAAUUAAAGCCAAAGGAGGGUGUCCUGGCCACUGGUACCCACCAGCAUAUAUUGCUAAUCAUAUUCAGAGAUGGGACCCAGCACCAGGUCCCACAUUCAACAGCUCAGCCCCAGCCCCCUUGCUCCCCACUCCCUCAGGCCCCUGUCUAGUUUGUCCCACCAGUGAAUAGACUAUCCUGACUGGAAUUGACAUCCGUCCCCAACAGGGACACCAGUAAAGGGUGUUCUCAGUUUUACUCAAAGGCCUCAUGGUAAUUCGUGGUUAUAAGGAAGGUGGACCCUGCCUCUUGCAAAUGUCAUCAGCGUGUCCUACAAACUCUCAGUGCAGGACCAACAGGACAGCAGUGCACCACCACGCCCACCACACCUACCACACCUGACACCAUGCCCACCACACCUGAAGGGCCGGGGCAGGCACACAGCUCACAGGACUACUCUGAGCAUUGGUCCCUGCUGUCUACCUCAGUGACGUCAGGUGUCUACAUGAUAAGCAAGCCCUUGACUCAAACGUCACCUGCACCCGUGUUCUCUUCCUCCUAUGAUUGGGGAAGCUUUGAAAGCAUCGAGUUGAAAGAUUAAGGAAAUGUGGGGGGAGCGCUGGGGGGGCUGGGGCACGAAAAACCCAACCCAAGUCCUCAAGGUUUAAUAGUCAAUAAAUGUGUCAAUUUUA